CUUAGGGAUGGCUGAGGGCAAGGUUCAGACACAGUGUGAUGUGGGAGGCACAGAAUAGAAACCGUAGCGAGAAAAGGCUGCUUCACCCUGCAGCCUGGCAACUGAGUCCAGCUCUGCUUGAUGUCAGCCAGAGGGUUUGAAUGACUUCCCUAAACCCUUGGAGGAGGAGCUCUGUAUACUGGAAGUGGUCCAUCUGCACACUGAUUGGAGGCAGAGGUGACAGGCUCCAAGGGAAGCGGAACGACCUGAUGGAAGAAAGCAACUCAUGUGAUAAUGAGGAAGUAGAGAGAGACUCCACUCACCAGAUCCGAGAUACAUACCAAAGUGAUCGAAGAGACACCCGCACGGAGGUAGCAGGAGUCUCAUCAACGAGAAGGGGAAACGUUUCUCACUGCCCUAGCAUUUAAUUUAUUUUUUGACAAGUGGAUCAGGACAGAAGCCCUGUUUCCCUGCAUGGUGCUCCUCGGCCGGAGGGUGCAGAAGACGUGGAGGCUGUGGAAGACCUGCUUUCUAUCCCCAGAGAACUACGGUCUGAUUAGGAAGAGGAGACUCGCCCAAGAUUUGAGUACUAAGCAAUGUUGGGCAGA
Molecule: long non-coding RNA, 587 nt
Organism: Marmota monax (woodchuck)
Lineage: Eukaryota; Metazoa; Chordata; Mammalia; Rodentia; Sciuridae
Exons: 3
Source: RefSeq, a predicted model, not a curated record